RNAcentral lists this unclassified non-coding RNA (197 nucleotides) under plant metagenome. RNAcentral describes it as "partial contains small subunit ribosomal RNA, internal transcribed spacer 1, and 5.8S ribosomal RNA". The record is from RNAcentral.
UCUCCGUUGGUGAACCAGCGGAGGGAUCAUUACCGAGUGCAAACUCAUAACCCUUUGUGAACCUAUAUCUGUUGCUUCGGCGGCUCGCUCUCGGGCGAGUCCGCCGGUAAUAUCAGUAUCUCUGUUUGAACCCGACGAUACUUCUGAGUGUUCUUAGCGAACAGUUAAAACUUUUAACAACGGAUCUCUUGGCUCUA